GUGAUGACUUCAACAGCACAUAUAUUAAAAACUAGAUCAAUGCAAAGAAAUUUAGCAUAGCCCCUGAGCAGGGAAGACAUAAAAUUGUGAUACAAUCCAUAAUUUU
Rattus rattus (black rat) is the source of this 106-nucleotide small nuclear RNA. NCBI's taxonomy places the organism in Eukaryota, Metazoa, Chordata, Mammalia, Rodentia, Muridae. The record is from RefSeq and is a predicted model, not a curated record.